UUUACCUACGGGGGGCAGCAGUCGGGAAUAUUGCGCAAUGGAGGAAACUCUGACGCAGUGACGCCGCGUAUAGGAAGAAGGUUUUCGGAUUGUAAACUAUUGUCGUUAGGGAAGAUAAAAGACUGUACCUAAGGAGGAAGCCUCGGCUAACUACGUGCCAGCAGCCGCGGUAAUACGUAGGUGGCAAGCGUUGUCCGGAUUUAUUGGGCGUAAAGCGAGUGCAGGCGGUUCAAUAAAUCUGAU
Molecule: ribosomal RNA, 243 nt
Filed under: uncultured bacterium
Lineage: Bacteria
Description: partial 16S ribosomal RNA
Rfam family: Bacterial small subunit ribosomal RNA
Source: RNAcentral